AUGUAUAGAGAUAUACAUUACCUAUAUAGGAGCGAACGAGGGGAAUUGAAACAUCUUAGUACCCUCAGGAAAAGAAAUCAAUAGAGAUUGCGUCAGUAGCGGCGAGCGAAAGCGCAAGAGGGCAAACCCAGUGCUUGCACUGGGGGUUGUAGGACUGCAAUGUGCAAGAGGUGAGUUUAGCAGAACAUUCUGGAAAGUAUAGCCAUAGAGGGUGAUAGUCCCGUAUGCGAAAAACAAACCUUAGCUAGCAGUAUCCUGAGUAGGGCGGGACACGAGAAAUCCUGUCUGAAGCUGGGUCGACCACGAUCCAACCCUAAAUACUAAUACCAGAUCGAUAGUGCACAAGUACCGUGAGGGAAAGGUGAAAAGAACUGAGGUGAUCAGAGUGAAAUAGAACCUGAAACCAUUUGCUUACAAUCAUUCAGAGCCCUAUGUAGCAAUACAGGGUGAUGGACUGCCUUUUGCAUAAUGAGCCUGCGAGUUGUGGUGUCUGGCAAGGUUAAGCAAACGCGAAGCCGUAGCGAAAGCGAGUCUGAAUAGGGCGCUUAGUCAGAUGCUGCAGACCCGAAACGAAGUGAUCUAUCCAUGAGCAAGUUGAAGCUAGUGUAAGAACUAGUGGAGGACUGAACCCAUAGGCGUUGAAAAGCCCCGGGAUGACUUGUGGAUAGGGGUGAAAGGCC
RNAcentral lists this ribosomal RNA (680 nucleotides) under Campylobacter jejuni. RNAcentral's name for it is "partial 23S ribosomal RNA". It matches the Rfam family "Bacterial large subunit ribosomal RNA", at positions 131 to 830 of the family's 2925-position model. Lineage: Bacteria; Pseudomonadati; Campylobacterota; Epsilonproteobacteria; Campylobacterales; Campylobacteraceae. The record is from RNAcentral.